This is a non-coding RNA of Saccharomyces cerevisiae S288C, 984 nucleotides long. RefSeq annotates it as SUT169. The transcript has a single exon. The record is from RefSeq. NCBI's taxonomy places the organism in Eukaryota, Fungi, Ascomycota, Saccharomycetes, Saccharomycetales, Saccharomycetaceae.
CGCUACUACUUGUGACUUGAUUAUGGAUAGCAAUAGACAACAAAGUUUGCGCUUGGAUUGGUGACAAGUACCCAGCAGAAAUUGCACCUUGUGGAAUACUUGUGUUACUUAUGAACCCAAUUCCUGAACCAUCAUGACCACUGGAUCCAUCACUUGCAUAAACGACAGGGAAGUCGACCGAUGUCCAUGAUGCCACGGUACUGUUGUGACUUGUACCAGAGCUGACAACAACCAAACCUUGGAUACUAGAACUUAGUGAUUGAAUUAAGCUUUGAGAAUAUCCUUCUUCGUAUAUAAUUGGAACCAAUGGACUGGAGGAUGAUGAGGAUGUAUUGGUCCCGGAGGAGGCAUUAGAAGAUAUUUGUGCGCUCGUAAAAUUCGAGUAUUGAGUUCUGAUUGUGGAGUUGCUGGCAAUCAGAGUUGGCUCACAGGCAUCAAAGAACCAUUGAACAUUCUUCUGACCAGACAAAACGCCCACAGGAACAGUGUAAGGAGGGAAAACACCAGAAUACACAACUUUAUCUCUACCGGCAACCAAAGUGCCUCUACCUUCCGCGUCCGAACUACUCAAUAUUGGUACACCCCAUAAGAAAUUCUCAGUAAUGACAAUGGUCUUUGAUGUAUUAAAAACGAUUGAGCAGAAGAAACUCAAAGUUUCAAUGGAACGCCAGUUUGUGACGAUUAUAAUGCCGGAAGACGAUUCGCUUUGUAAAGUCUGAUUAACUUGAGUAGCAAUUUGGUAAAGUUGAGUGAUGUUUAAGGUGGAAGUAGAGUUGAAUAGCGUUGUGGUAGUAACGUUUGACUGGCUACCAGAUACAGCAGGUCCACCCGUGAUGAUCACGGGGACCGUACCGCCGCCAGAAGUAACGUUCUGCCUCUUGUAAAGUGGUGUUGCAGAAGCUGUUAAAGUUGCAAGAAAAAAUGCUAGCACUGAUGUGAAUUUCAUAAUAGCUGAUUGGGUUCUUAGAUGUGAAAACUGAUCGA